UGGGGAAUAUUGCACAAUGGGCGAAAGCCUGAUGCAGCGACGCCGCGUGAGGGAUGACGGCCUUCGGGUUGUAAACCUCUUUCAGUAGGGACGAAGCGCAAGUGACGGUACCUGCAGAAGAAGCACCGGCUAACUACGUGCCAGCAGCCGCGGUAAUACGUAGGGUGCGAGCGUUGUCCGGAAUUACUGGGCGUAAAGAGCUCGUAGGCGGUUUGUCACGUCGUCUGUGAAAUCCUAGGGCUUAACCCUGGACGUGCAGGCGAUACGGGCUGACUUGAGUACUACAGGGGAGACUGGAAUUUCUGGUGUAGCGGUGGAAUGCACAGAUAUCAGGAAGAGCACCGAUGGCGAAGGCAGGGCUCUGGGUAGUAACUGACGCUGAGGAGCGAAAGCAUGGGUAGCGAACAGG
Molecule: ribosomal RNA, 409 nt
Filed under: bacterium
Lineage: Bacteria
Description: partial 16S ribosomal RNA
Rfam family: Bacterial small subunit ribosomal RNA
Source: RNAcentral